GGGCCGGUAGAUCAGCCUGGUAGAUCGCCGCGUUGGCAUCGCGGAGGUCCCGGGUUCAAAUCCCGGCCGGUCCACCA
RNAcentral lists this transfer RNA (77 nucleotides) under archaeon. RNAcentral's name for it is "tRNA-Ala". It matches the Rfam family "tRNA". From Rfam's summary of the family: Transfer RNA (tRNA) molecules are approximately 80 nucleotides in length. Their secondary structure includes four short double-helical elements and three loops (D, anti-codon, and T loops). RNAcentral also lists the same sequence under 3 other names. The record is from RNAcentral.